This 439-nucleotide ribosomal RNA is filed under the name uncultured bacterium. Its description in RNAcentral is "bacterial SSU rRNA". It matches the Rfam family "Bacterial small subunit ribosomal RNA", at positions 958 to 1398 of the family's 1533-position model. The record is from RNAcentral.
AACGCGAAGAACCUUACCAGGGUUUGACAUGCAUGAGAAGUCUCCAGAAAUGGGGGUCCCUUCGGGGUUCAUGCACAGGUGCUGCAUGGCUGUCGUCAGCUCGUGCCGUGAGGUGUUGGGUUAAGUCCCGCAACGAGCGCAACCCUCAUCCCUAGUUGCCACCGGGUAAUGCCGAGCACUCUAGUGAAACCGCCCCGGAUAACGGGGAGGAAGGUGGGGAUGACGUCAAGUCCUCAUGGCCUUUAUGUCCAGGGCUACACACGUGCUACAAUGGUCGGUACAAACCGUCGCAAAGCUGCAAAGUGGAGCUAAUCGGAAAAAGCCGGCCUCAGUUCGGAUUGGAGUCUGCAACUCGACUCCAUGAAGCUGGAAUCGCUAGUAAUCGCAGAUCAGAACGCUGCGGUGAAUACGUUCCCGGGCCUUGUACACACCGAUACUC